GCUCCUCCCGAUCUCCCGUCGAAAAGAAAAACGCAGGGACGAGUCGCUCCUGUCCCCUAGCCCCUCGUGCGCUAGGGUUCCUCACGGCGCCGUCGCUGCCGCCGCAUGGGUGUUCGUCCACUGGCCCUGCCUCCGGCGGCCGCCGCCGUAGCCGCCCACCUCCAUCCUCUCCCCAGCCCCGUCGGCCUCCACUUCACUCCCCUCCUCCGCGGGCGCCACCAAACCGCCGCCGCCCUCCCCCCGCACCCGCACCCAAGGACUCAGCCGGUGGCCAGAUCCGCCCCUCCCACUCACCCAACUCUCUCUUCGUCGCCGCCAUCUAGACCGGCCGAUUCCGUAAUGAUCCGGCGCCGAUCCGUUCCUGUAGCCGCCGUCGUUCGCAUACAGAUUCGGUGCCGAUCCGCGGCCUGGAGUCUAGGACGUCAGCGCCACCAGUUUACCGAUCAGGUCGUUAGCACUGCCGUCUAGGUGAUAAUAAACGCCGUUCACCACAACAAGAGGUGAACAACAAGAGGCGAGAGGCAGAUUCCAGAUAAGGGAGCAAACUGCGUAGCAAGAUCAAUAAUGAAUGGUUCAAGUCAUGUGUUACAAGUUACAAUGAGCAGGUGGUACUCAAGUCCGUUGAUGAUAAGGAUAUUAUUCGAACAUUUACUGCAAUGAGGUCUCGGAAAGGGCAUUUGCCUCGUGAUUGUCUUUAGUGCGCUGCCGGUAUUCGGCAUGCCAGCGCCUUCGUCGACUUCCACUCGCCAAUCUGUAACGCCUAUGCCCAUGGUGGCAGGUCACACUCUGAUGCAGCCGUGCACGCCGCCGCUACCAGACGACACCCCCAUCGAGUAAUACACCCCAGCCGAGAUUUUCUAUAUCAUCUCUGCCAAGGCGCAGUCAUCGGAAGAGAUUCAGGUAAGAUUAUCCUUGUUUUCUACAUCAAAUUUUGCAUGUUCAUCUGUCUAAUCUUUGAUACUACAUUUCUUAGCUAAUGUCCUCCUUGCCUGUACCAUGUUCAUAUGAUUAACAAAGGCUUGGCCAUCUUAAUAUAGUAGCCCGUGAGGUGGAUAUAUAUACUACUCCCUCCAUUCCUAAAUAUAAGUCUUUUGACAGAUUCCAAUAUGGACUACUGAGUGAAUCUACACUCUAAAGAAUGUCUAAAUGCAUCCGUAUGUAGUCCAUAUUGAAAUCUCUAAAUGGACUUAUAUUUAGAAACAGAGGGAGUACUUCAGUUUGCAUGAGAGAAUAAUCACUUAUAUGUGUGCCUCGAUAUUAUAGUAGGAUUGCUUGGAUUAUUUCUGUAGUACUUUGUCCAAAAAUGUUGUUCUAAUCCCUAGCUCACUUGAACCUGGGUGAACAGUAAAAUAAUUAAAGAAUCUGAUAUUUUUUUUAGUGUGAAACAUUGACAAAUGUCUUCAUAGCAAAUAGAAAUUUGUCACCAGAUGACAUUCGUGGAAAAUAUGUCCAAAAAAUAGUUGCAAAUUUAUCACCAGAUAACAUUGUGGAAAAUAGUUGCGGCCGUACCGUGUGUUCUUUGUCGAAUUUGUGUUUGAUUUUUUCAUUAUAUAUUACUUCUUGCUUGCGCGAGGGUGGUUGUAGAUUUGUUAUUUUUUGCCCCGAAAAGAAGGUAACCGGAUUAGUAGUCUAAUUGAGUAGAUGCUGGUGAGGGAGGGUUACUUGAUUUUUAUUGAGUACAUUAUGCUCCGCUUUGUGAUGAGGUUUGAAAUUUGAUUGUUCUGAUGUGUAAUAGAGGGGGCAAAAGUGUUAUCCAUUUCAUUGUUUCUGUGCAUGUUUACGUUGACCAUCGGUGGCGGGAGGCGGCAUUGUUGGCGGCCGAAGGGGUGCUUGUGGAAGCAGGUGGUAUAGUCGGCAGCUGUGGGGAUUCGUUAUUCUCCGAGGUUGGCGGGCUCGACGCCAGGCUCGAUGGGGCUGCGGGAUUGUCAAGCAGAAGCCUGGUGCAGCCUACCAAGCUGGGGAGAGCCAUAGAAUGCCCAUCUUGGAAUUAGCUGUUCGACUGAAUGUCCAGGACAAAGAUAUUGCCACCUCCUUUGAGUAUGCUUGACUUGUAUAAUGCGAUUUUCAUUUAUUUAGAGUGAAUUACAUAAUAUAUAGAUAUGCAUUAUUAUGGCUUUAGUAACUAAUUUUCUCAUGUUUAGAAACAUGCGAGGUGGGGGGGUGUCUUUGCUUUACUUUGAUUUUAUAUACCUCAAUAUUUUUUUUACAUAUGUUGCAAUCGCAAAAAUAUUAUCAACAAAAAAUAUUAAAAAAAUUAAAAAAUUAAAUUACUACUUCCAAAUAUUUGGCUGAUUAGUCACCAAAAAAAGAACAUCAAAAGCAUAUUUCUAAUUAGUAAGGUUGACAAGAUAUGCAUUGCUACGCAGUUAGGAACUAAUAUGUGAAUGGUAAUUGUUCAUGCCCAAGCAUGGAUGCAGGUGGAUGUGGGCGCCAGGGCCGCCACCAAGGAUGUAGGGGCCGUGCCACAACGGGCGAGGAUGCAUUAGGCACGCCGAAACUGACGAGGACACGUGAGCCGCACUGCAGCCUUAGUGUUUUUCCUAAUUUCUUUAGGUACGCAAGGUUGAUUUAAUAUUCACAUGUAUGCUGAAAUUUUGACACGAAGAACCAGCAGUGGAGUGUUAUACGAAAUUUCUCCCGAGAGCUGUACUACCAUUCUUUUUAGUAUUGAUUGACUAAUUCCCAUGAGUUGUCCCAAAAUUGUAAAUAUGAAUAUGGAUGAUUAAUUAUGAUUCUAAUGAGGUCAUUGGUUCUCAUUAAAAUAGCAGCAUGAAAUAACCCUGCA
RNA transcript from Triticum dicoccoides, 2785 nucleotides. RefSeq lists it as uncharacterized. NCBI's taxonomy places the organism in Eukaryota, Viridiplantae, Streptophyta, Magnoliopsida, Poales, Poaceae. The record is from RefSeq and is a predicted model, not a curated record. The transcript is spliced from 5 exons.